AGAGUUUGAUCAUGGCUCAGGACGAACGCUGGCGGCGUGCUUAACACAUGCAAGUGGAGCGACGAACCGGGCUUCGGCCCGGGGCAGAGCCGCGAACGGGUGAGUAACACGUGGGUUAUCUGCCCAGUUGACAGGGACAACCCGGGGAAACCCGGGCUAAUACCUGAUGUGCCCCUCGGGGGAAAGGAAGCUUCGGCCUCCGCAACUGGAUGAGCCCGCGGCCCAUUAGCUUGUUGGUGAGGUAAUGGCCUACCAAGGCUGCGAUGGGUAGCUGGUCUGAGAGGACGAUCAGCCACACUGGGACUGAGACACGGCCCAGACUCCUACGGGAGGCAGCAGUGGGGAAUCUUGCGCAAUGCGCGAAAGCGUGACGCAGCAACGCCGCGUGAGGGAAGACGGCCUUCGGGUUGUAAACCUCUUUCAGUUGGGACGAAGGUUCGCCGGUGAAUAGCCGGCUGGACUGACGGUACCUUCAGAAGAAGCCCCGGCUAACUACGUGCCAGCAGCCGCGGUAAUACGUAGGGGGCAAGCGUUGUCCGGAUUUAUUGGGCGUAAAGCGCUCGCGGGUGGUUCGUUGCGUCGUGCGUGAAAGACCCCGGCUCAACUGGGGAGGGUCGUGCGAUACGGGCGAACUGGAGGCCAGUAGGGGGAUGCGGAAUUCCGGGUGUAGUGGUGGAAUGCGUAGAGAUCCGGAGGAACA
RNAcentral lists this ribosomal RNA (700 nucleotides) under uncultured bacterium. Its description in RNAcentral is "bacterial SSU rRNA". It matches the Rfam family "Bacterial small subunit ribosomal RNA", at positions 8 to 708 of the family's 1533-position model. The record is from RNAcentral.